Molecule: ribosomal RNA, 258 nt
Filed under: Rossellomorea aquimaris
Lineage: Bacteria; Bacillati; Bacillota; Bacilli; Caryophanales; Bacillaceae
Description: Bacillus aquimaris partial 16S ribosomal RNA
Rfam family: Bacterial small subunit ribosomal RNA
Source: RNAcentral
UUUAUCGGAGAGUUUGAUCCUGGCUCAGGACGAACGCUGGCGGCGUGCCUAAUACAUGCAAGUCGAGCGGAUUGAUGGGAGCUUGCUCCCAUCAGUCAGCGGCGGACGGGUGAGUAACACGUGGGUAACCUGCCUGUAAGACUGGGAUAACUCCGGGAAACCGGGGCUAAUACCGGAUAACUCAUUUCCUCGCAUGAGGAAAUGUUGAAAGGUGGCUUUUAGCUAUCACUUACAGAUGGACCCGCGGCGCAUUAGCUA